CGUGUGUUCCAAUCUUGACCUCUGUUUCUCUCUCUCGCCGUCGUGAAUCGCUCCGGGGUUUCCAGCUACCAGAAUGCUUCUGCAUCUUCGUGAGUCCUCCGUCUCCGUCUAUUCUCCAUUGCGAGUCCUCUCCUUCGAAUGCUCCUGCAUCUUCGUGAAUCAUCUCCGUCAAGCGCUUCGGCAACAUCGUGAAUCAUCGUUAUCGACUGUGUCACAUCCAUUCGUUCAUCUCAAUUCUAGGAGUUGAUAAAUAGUAGAUUCGAUGUUGAUGGUGAUGAGGUUAUCUAGACAAAACAGAGGACAGAAGGAAAAGAUGAUUGAAGACUUGAUCCUUACAUAAUCCAGUUAUGAGAUGACAAGAGGUAAAUAAAACCUAAUAUUUUCAAAAGUUUAUUAUAAUCUGUGUGGAAACUCAUUUCCAAAGUUUAUUAUAUUCGGUAUAUAAAUUCGUGAAACAUAACUUUUAUUGUUGUUUAUCCUAUCUCUAUAUAUGAAACUUUUAGAUUGUCACUUCCAAUUUUCAAGAGACUGGAUACAGUGAUAUUUGCUAUUAAUUUGGUUCAUGAAAUGUGUUGAUAUGGUUAUCUUAUGUUUGUUAAUUGCCUUCCAGUUUCAGCAAUGCAGGUUAUUUAUCAGGGAUUAGUUGUUGAUAGGUAACAUAUCAUUAGGUUAUUUGUUGAUUAGUUUUUAAUUAAUUCGGCUAUUUAAUUAACCUAAAGCGACAUGCUACUGUAUUUGCAGAUCGAUCACUUUCGUUAGUCAGGAGACUACGCUCUUCAGUUGUGAUGUAUGCUUGAUUUUUGAAGACUGUAACAUCAGUUUUGAUAGGAACCAAGUUUGAUGAUUUCAUUCAGCUCCAUAUUGAUGCAAAUCUGGCCCUAGCACAAGGGGUUUGUUUGAAUUUCUUAUAAUUUAUUUAAUUUCGGUUCUUAUUUCUCAAGGCAUUCUCACUAACUAAAAUGGUAUUCGACUAAUUCAAAUGUUUUUGUAUGGUUUGAAGUUCAAUAAUUAGUUUUGGAAUACUUAUAUCUGCAAAAAAUGUGCACACAUUCGCAACAGUUCAUUUUAAUCAUCAGUAUGAAAGGUUUAAAUUCUGAAAGAUCACUUUGUGAGUGAAACCAUACAAAUUUUGAAAGGGCUAAGAGAGCGCUAUGAGAUUCACCACAAGCUCCGUUAUACCGAUGAUGCUUGUGUAGCUGCUGCAGAGCUCUCACAUCAAUAUAUCAGUUAUGGAAGUUAUUUCUAAUCAUAGGUGCUCAAAUACUUGCCCAGCAACAAGCGAUUUAUUUUCAUUUGUAUUGUCACUAUCAUUUCUUUCCCUAUUACUUUUCCUACUAGUUAAACAAUGUCUUUGAUUCUGCAGGAAUCUAGAAAACAACAAACUACAAGGUCUACUUCAUGAUAGUGAAAUGGAUAACACAUCAUCCAAGAGUAGCUCAUCUUUGCAAAAGCAGUUAAUGGUGGGUUUACUACAUCCCAAGGCAUACAAGCCAUCAGGAUAUGUAAAAGUGAAGGAGGAUAUAACAUUCUAUUAUAGCUGCUGUUAAGAAUUUGUAAAUUCACUAUUUCUGACAGUAGUUUCAGUGCCUCUUCACACACCGACACAGAGGUUAAUUACUGAACAAUAUAGCGGAAAUAUUGAGUUACAACAACCGAGUCCCGUAUCAGUUCUUGACUCGCAGUUUUACAAAGACGACUCGUCGUGUUCACCAUCUCCAAUAAUGAAAAGAUGCAUUGAAUAUAAAGGUCAGUAUUUUUGUUUUGUUCUUACAUGCAUAAGUCGUAAUCAUUGCUUCCUCGACGUUAAGGUCAUUGCUUUAUUUACUAGUGAGAGAGUUAAUAUUAGGUGAGAGAGUUGAUAGUUAAGUUUUAG
Long non-coding RNA from Vicia villosa (hairy vetch), 1873 nucleotides. RefSeq lists it as uncharacterized. NCBI's taxonomy places the organism in Eukaryota, Viridiplantae, Streptophyta, Magnoliopsida, Fabales, Fabaceae. The transcript is spliced from 3 exons. The record is from RefSeq and is a predicted model, not a curated record.